This 318-nucleotide long non-coding RNA is filed under the name Sorghum bicolor (sorghum). Its description in RNAcentral is "long non-coding RNA (SBIC_LNC005276)". The record is from RNAcentral. Lineage: Eukaryota; Viridiplantae; Streptophyta; Magnoliopsida; Poales; Poaceae.
CGCACAGAUUAAUACCGAUGCAGCAUUUUAACCGGGAAGUAUUCCAGGUAUCGUUAUUUAUAUUUUUACCACUGGGAAGGGAUUAGCAAUCAUCAAUAUUGAUUACAGAAUAGAAUAUGAGAUUGAGCAUCUAUCAUUGCAUGUAUAAUUGAGAACAUUUAUCUAACUCUUCAUACAAGGAUAAGUGUCACAUAAAAGAUAUAUGAAAUAAUGAAUAGUGACAAAGAUAAUUAGUCUGAUCUAGCCACAUAAUAAAUAUGAUAAGCACCUCAAUUAGAUACUCUAGAAAGUCAUUAGCAUGGAAUUAGAACGAACUAC